UGCCAGCCGCCGCGGUAAUACGUAGGUGGCAAGCGUUAUCCGGAAUUACUGGGCGUAAAGCGUACGCAGGCGGCCAAUUAAGUCUGACGUGAAAGCUCCUGGCUUAACUGGGAGAGGUCGUUGGAAACUAAUUGGCUUGAGGUGAUGAGAGGGGUGCGGAAUUCCCGGUGUAGUGGUGGAAUGCGUAGAUAUCGGGAGGAACACCAGUGGCGAAAGCGGCACCCUGGCAUUAAUCUGACGCUCAUGUACGAAAGCGUGGGGAGCGAACGGGAUUAGAUA
Molecule: ribosomal RNA, 279 nt
Filed under: uncultured bacterium
Lineage: Bacteria
Description: partial 16S ribosomal RNA
Rfam family: Bacterial small subunit ribosomal RNA
Source: RNAcentral